This 231-nucleotide ribosomal RNA is filed under the name uncultured bacterium. RNAcentral describes it as "partial 16S ribosomal RNA". It matches the Rfam family "Bacterial small subunit ribosomal RNA", at positions 118 to 350 of the family's 1533-position model. The record is from RNAcentral.
UGGGCAACCUGCCCUCAGCUCUGGGAUAACCCCGGGAACCGGAGCUAAUACCGGAUACUCUCGGCCGACCACAUGGCUGGCCGAGGAAAGGUCCGCCGGUCAGGGAUGGGCCCGCGGCCUAUCAGCUUGUUGGCGAGGUAACGGCUCACCAAGGCGACGACGGGUAGCUGGUCUGAGAGGACGACCAGCCACACUGGAACUGAGAUACGGUCCAGACUCCUACGGGAGGCA